AUAAUUCAUUACAUCCAUCCAAGAAAAAAAACAUCUCGCCUCCUUCCACUCUCUUCUCCUUUACGAUCUGCAUUCUUCUUCUCCUUCCUCUUUUUCUAGACUCUACUACACCUUGGUCUUCUUAGUUCUCGUCUUUCUACUCAUAUUCCCUUUGUUUAUUUUUUUCUUUUAAAUCGAAGCUUUAAUCCAUAAUUAACAAUGGCACCCUCAACUUGAUCUACCUUCAAUGACCUUACAGCGUGAGUGAAAAUGAUAGAAACAGACUCAUAAACCUCGUUCAAUGCAACCUCACUUAAAGGUGAAAUAGGGCUGUCGGCGUACGCCGUUGCUGUCACCGUUACCAUCACAGCUAGCCACAGCCACAACCGCUCAUGAGAACUGAUAUAUUGUAUUUGUAAUGGGUUUUUAGUGGAUUUCAAUUUUUAAUAUGUAAACCGAAAUAGAAACCGAAUAAAUCAAAGAAAAAAAAUUUCGGUUCAAUUUCGGAAUAUAAAUUUUAGUCAAUAACCGACACGAAUAAACCGACUUUUGAACCGACCCGAACCGAAUU
Camelina sativa (false flax) is the source of this 550-nucleotide long non-coding RNA. RefSeq lists it as uncharacterized. Lineage: Eukaryota; Viridiplantae; Streptophyta; Magnoliopsida; Brassicales; Brassicaceae. The record is from RefSeq and is a predicted model, not a curated record.